This 253-nucleotide ribosomal RNA is filed under the name uncultured bacterium. Its description in RNAcentral is "partial 16S ribosomal RNA". It matches the Rfam family "Bacterial small subunit ribosomal RNA", at positions 524 to 776 of the family's 1533-position model. The record is from RNAcentral.
UACGUAGGGGGCAAGCGUUGUCCGGAAUUACUGGGCGUAAAGCGUGUGUAGGCGGUCCUGUAAGUCGGGUGUGAAAGCCCAGGGCUCAACCCUGGAAGUGCACUCGAAACUGCAAGGCUAGAGUACCGGAGAGGUUGGUGGAAUUCUCGGUGUAGAGGUGAAAUUCGUAGAUAUCGAGAGGAACACCGGCGGCGAAGGUGGCCAACUGGACGAGUACUGACGCUGAGACACGAAAGCGUGGGGAGCAAACAGG